CUACAUUAACACAGUAAACAGAUGCCGAUUUUAUAUUAACACGCAUGAAGCGCACAUUCAUGUGGCGUCACGUGACGUAGUUUUGCAUGUUAUGUAUCAUGUACUUCCGGUGAGGUUUUGUAACAAUGAUUGUGCGCUGAUGUACUUAUUCACAGUUGCACAAUAAAGACUGGGUUUGUUCGUUCAUUGCAGCGGAUCUCAUUAUUUACAAUGACUGAGGUCAGGCGGGCCAUCUCUGAAGCGCUGUGGGGAAUGUGUGCAGCGGAUGCCAUGUCGAUGCCCGUCCACUGGUACUACAGCACCCAAGACAUCAGGAGGGACUUCAGUGGCUGGAUCACUGGAUUCACUGCGCCGCGGGGCAGACACCCAUCCAGCAUCCUAAGCCUGUCCAGCACAGGUCGUACAGCUGAAAUACUGCUGGUACUGCUUUACUGAUGCUUGUAUGUAAUCAUGCUGUGUGUGAUUAUUGUGUAGCUGGCAGUGGACGCAGAGCCGGAUCAACCGGAACUGCAGCUCCUGUGGUGGGGAAUGUGAUUCUGCAUGAUAAGCUGAAGUUCUGGACGGAUCCCCGUGGAUCAGUGCACUACCAUCAGGGUCUUCACGCGGGUGGAAACACGCUGAACACUCUCUGUGCUCUGAGAGUUGUGCGCAUUCUGUCCACCGGUGCUUUCGUUAGUAUGGCUGAUCCUGAAGCACGAGCCGCCGUACUGUCGGAUUACACUGAGUUCAUGACGCGUCCCGGCUCACACAACGACACGUACGCCGAGUCCUUCCAUAGAAGCUUCUUCUCUGACUGGCAGGAACUCAGACCUACGUCCUCUAGAGAGGUUCUGGAGUUUGCGGAGCAGCGCUCCAAAUGCAUGUUGAGCACAUCCCGUGCUGACAGUCAGCUAAAUGCUAUAGGAUGUCUUCCCAUGGCCAUUCACUUUGUCCUGCUGUCUGCCACAGCCAAUGAGGAGGAAGCAGUUUCUGCAGCGGUGGAGUUUGUGAAGCUCACUCAUCCUCAUCCAGCGCUGGAGCCGCUGGUGUCUCUGUACAUGCGAGCGCUUCACGCCACACUGAAUGGAGCAUGUCUGAAACAACAGGCGGAGACGGCGCUCAAAUCACCCGUGCUGGACACCUGGGACGUGUGUCAACACUUUAUACAGUGCGCAGAGAGGAUUCCAGGAUCAUCAGUGGAGCGUCUGAAGGUUCAUCAGAGCGCUGUGGAGUCUCUCGGAAUCGCCUGCUACACACAAGGAGCUCUCAGCAGUCUCUUCUACCUGGCCUACAACUUUCAUAAUGACGUGACGGGGGGAAUCCUGACCAACACCAACUGUGGAGGUGAGAACUGUAACCGUGGGGCAGCAUUGGGGGCUCUUCUCGGGGCCCGGGCGGUGUAUCUCGGCUCAGUCGUACCACAGGAGUGGAAGGACGGGCUGGUUGAAGCUCAGGGGCGAAUCACUGACAUCCUGCAGGAGCUGAACAGAUCCACAUCAGUCUGAUGUUCUUCUGCUUGUGAACUUCCUCCUGCACUGCUGUGCUGUUUAGCUCUUCUCUUGACUCUUCAUAUGUCUUUCUGUUUGCUGUGUUUAUUCACACUCACACACACACACACACACACACACACACACUUUAUUCACACUCACACACACACACACACACACACACACACACACACUCAAGCAUGUGCUGCUGCCACAGGAAACGGUGCCCACAGAUGUGGUUUCCAGCCUGCACUGUGGAAGACUUUCCUCUCGUCUGUAUACCUUCAGUCACACUGUGACCUACUUGCAUAAUUCUCGUAUUAGAACUUCAUCUGUUAUAGAUUGUCCUGUUGUAUAGAGUAAAUGUUAAUCAGAUAGUUCAUGCUUUAAAGAUUCUCAUUAGAAUGUGUUUGAGACAUAAACUUACAAGUUGAUGUAUUGCAGAACGUGAUUGCAGAAGCGGCAUACUAAACGCUCUUGAGGACACUCAUUUCAGAGUUUGAAACAAAAAUAUAUAAUAUAAAUCUAAUAUAUAAAUAUUAUAUUUUUCUUUUCUUGUUUUUAACUAUUUGAUCCUAAAUGCUUGCAUAAAAGCUGGCCAUGAUUUGAAUUGGAUAAUUUGGUGAUAUAAAUGUGGUGACUUAAGUGUAGUUUUUAGUUUCUAGUUUUAUCUAGUUUGUAAUUAUGUAACUUUUAAAAUAAUGCAUCAUGAUUUAACUUAAUUUUACUGAAGUUCUUUUAUUAAAGGGGUCCUAUUAUGCUCUUUUACAAAGUUGAUUUUGUUUUGGGGGUGUACUAGAACAGGCUCUCAUACUAGGUUGUUCGAAAAACACAUUAUUUUUCACAUAUUUUACAUUAUUACAACACCUCUCUCCCCAGUCUGGCAUGAACGGCUCGAAUAGUUCCUGUAUCAAAUGAAGGCCCGCCUUCUGAAAUACGAAAUGUGCUGUGAUUGGUUAGCUGGGCCAGUGUAUGUUGUGAUUGGCAGCACUCGACGCCUGGUCGGGAAAUGUCAUGACCCUUACCAUAGCCGCCUGCAAGCUUCAGUGUAAAUAUUGCGUCAAAAUCAAAUCAAUUUGAGCGCGAUUAAACCCAGAUGAUUGUAAUCACUCUAAGUUCGUCUGCCUUGGGAAAGCUAGCGUGUCUCCGACAUAGUGAUAACACUUGUUGCCUUCUCUAGUGCAGCUCAACCAGGUCUCGUCCCAUUCGUCGAUAUUUGUGAUAUCACAAAUCCCGGAAAAUAUGCAUUGUAGUCCAAACGAGUCGUUCGUUGUAGUUUUUGAAAAGUGAUUUCUGUUAAAUAAAAUAUCUCCUUUUGAAGUGGACUUUGCAGAUCUUUUUUAUGCUCAAACAGCAACAUUACAGACCUAACUAAAGUUGAAAAAAUGAAAAAGCAUAAUACGACCCCUUUAAGACACUUAAACAAUUUACCUUUAAUUGUGAGUAUUAUAUACACUAUAAAUGAUCUUCUGCUUAUGCACCAAUUCAGAUUAUUUGCACAUUUUGUGAAGACAGUAGUUUUUGUUGAAGAUCAUCCAUUUCUGUGUACAGAUGUGUUGAUGAUCUGGUUUGAGUUUAUCUGUCCUGUUCGCUCACUUCAGGCCCUUCAUGAACAUGCUGUUGUGUUUGUGUCUUGUUUUAAUCAUAUUUAUAUUUUUAAUUUUCUAAAUAUAAAUCAGAUGAAUCAGUGAGUGUCAUUCUCUGUGUCUUACUGUCAUUGUAUAUGUGUUUGCUGCAGCUCUAUAUCAGAGUACAUGAGCUGAAUCGUGUUUGUUGGUGUGGAUCAGCGCUUGAUUUCUGUUUAAACCACGCAUCUCUCUGUGGUCUCAACAAAUGAGAUGAGAUGCUAAAGUUCACUCGUUUCAGUAGCAUGUAAAGCAGCUCAUCACACG
Long non-coding RNA from Sinocyclocheilus anshuiensis, 3358 nucleotides. Ensembl lists it as uncharacterized. NCBI's taxonomy places the organism in Eukaryota, Metazoa, Chordata, Actinopteri, Cypriniformes, Cyprinidae. The record is from Ensembl.